GAAGAAGAAAUACAAAAGGACUUUCUCUUUCAACCUCUAGCCUUUUUUCUUGGUUUUGAGUGAUGGAUCCUUUGUCUUCUAGAUUUUCCAAGUCCUUUUUUUGGGGGAAUCAAGCAUCUUGGUCCGAAAGAUUUGCUUCCAUCGAAGCAAAUUUAGUACUAGCUUAUAUCUUUUAAGUUUUUUUGUUUGGGUUUUAUGCUUUUCUUGUUGUGGUAUUGAAGAAAACUAGGAACUGGAAGAAGUUGUGUGUUUUAUUUGUGUUCUAUUCGAGAUCUCUCUUUUCUACAUAUGAACUCUUUAACGUACUUUCUGCGAUUCAUACAAUCUGGUCUUUUCUUGAUCUAAA
Hibiscus syriacus is the source of this 346-nucleotide long non-coding RNA. RefSeq lists it as uncharacterized. The transcript is spliced from 3 exons. The record is from RefSeq and is a predicted model, not a curated record. NCBI's taxonomy places the organism in Eukaryota, Viridiplantae, Streptophyta, Magnoliopsida, Malvales, Malvaceae.